RNAcentral lists this ribosomal RNA (253 nucleotides) under uncultured bacterium. RNAcentral's name for it is "partial 16S ribosomal RNA". It matches the Rfam family "Bacterial small subunit ribosomal RNA", at positions 524 to 776 of the family's 1533-position model. The record is from RNAcentral.
GACAGAGGGUGCAAACGUUGUUCGGAAUUACUGGGCGUAAAGGGCGUGUAGGUUGCUUGGAAAGUGGGGGGUGAAAGCCCUGGGCUCAACCUAGGAAGUGCACUCGAAACUGCGAAGCUCGAGUCCUGGAGAGGAAGGCGGAAUUCUCGGUGUAGAGGUGAAAUUCGUAGAUAUCGAGAGGAACACCGGUGGCGAAGGCGGCCUUCUGGACAGUGACUGACGCUGAGACGCGAAAGCGUGGGGAGCAAACAGG